Hemicordylus capensis (graceful crag lizard) is the source of this 783-nucleotide long non-coding RNA. RefSeq lists it as uncharacterized. The record is from RefSeq and is a predicted model, not a curated record. The transcript is spliced from 3 exons. NCBI's taxonomy places the organism in Eukaryota, Metazoa, Chordata, Lepidosauria, Squamata, Cordylidae.
GCGUAUGGUGGUGGCAGGCCGCAAAACGGCCUGAGGAGGCGACCUUGGCUGGCCGCCGGGAGGCAGCGGCAGGAUCACCUGGCCUGGCGAGGCCAGGCUGUCCCAGGCAGAGAUACAGCUGAUGAACCAGCCAAAGCCAGUAACAGGUGCUCCUGGCCACCAGUCACCUGGCUCAUGUAGAUAGCUGAGAUGCUGUCAGGACUCACCUGUGCCUGGAAUCUGAAACACAGGAGGCCUUGGAGAAGGAAGAGGAGAGGAGAGGAGGAGGAGAACAACUCUACUGCUGGCUCCAGCACAGACUAUCUUUGCGAUCCAAAAAUUUCGGUGAAGAUGUAAUGUUUUUUGUUAUGGGAAGUCAGGAUGCUGAAGCAAGAGUUGCUUAUAUCUGAGGGAAAAGGCUGGUUGCCCCAAGUGGAGUGAACAGAGUGAACUCAAGUCAAGGAUGAAUUCCUCAUCUUCAUGACGCUGAUCGCUGAAUCACGUGCACAUACGGUGGUAUAUUAUUCAUGCAGAGCUGAAUAACCUGCCCCCGCCCCCAGUUUUCAGAUGCUCUGACCAGAUUAGCAGUGGACAUACCUGUCAGCAUUUCAAGUAUGAAAAGAGGUCACUUUAGGCUCCUCCCCUUGACCUAAAACUCCCCCACCCCUGCAAGUCAAGCAAAUCAAACUAGGUCAGAUAUUCUAAUAUUAGCAUUCAUCACAUUCCUAGAGUUAUGCUGAAAGCAAAAACAUUAAUGUUCUUCAAACUGCCAUAUUAAUGUAUUUUAUAAAAGAAUGGAUGCCU